Molecule: ribosomal RNA, 301 nt
Filed under: uncultured bacterium
Lineage: Bacteria
Description: partial 16S ribosomal RNA
Rfam family: Bacterial small subunit ribosomal RNA
Source: RNAcentral
CAGUCGCCGCGGGAAUACGAGGGGGGCAAGCGUUGUUCGGAAUUAUUGGGCGUAAAGGGUGCGUAGGCGGUCUGAUAAGUCUGAUGUGAAAUCUAUGGGCUCAACCCAUAGUCUGCAUUAGAAACUGUCGGGCUUGAGUAUGGUAGAGGAUAGUGGAAUUUCCGGUGUAGCAGUGAAAUGCGUAGAGAUCGGAAGGAACAUCUGUGGCGAAGGCGACUAUCUGGGCCAACACUGACACUGAGGCACGAAAGCGUGGGGAGCAAACAGGAUUAGAUACCCCUGUAGUCCCUGUCUCUUAUAC